Molecule: ribosomal RNA, 220 nt
Filed under: uncultured bacterium
Lineage: Bacteria
Description: partial 16S ribosomal RNA
Rfam family: Bacterial small subunit ribosomal RNA
Source: RNAcentral
GCAAGUCGAACGAUCUCUUCGGAGAUAGUGGCGGACGGGUUAGUAACGCGUGGGAAUAUACCCUUAGGUAAGGAACAACAGCUGGAAACGGCUGCUAAUACCUUAUGAUGUCUUCGGACCAAAGAUUUAUCGCCUAAGGAUUAGCCCGCGUUGGAUUAGGUAGUUGGGGGGGUAAUGGCCCACCAAGCCUACGAUCCAUAGCUGGUUUGAGAGGAUGAUC